UGAGGAAUAUUGGUCAAUGGACGAGAGUCUGAACCAGCCAAGUAGCGUGCAGGAUGACGGCCCUAUGGGUUGUAAACUGCUUUUGUUUGGGAAUAAUCGACAUUACGUGUAAUGUUUUGCAUGUACCAUUCGAAUAAGGACCGGCUAAUUCCGUUCCAGCAGCCGCGGUAAUACGGAAGGUCCAGGCGUUAUCCGGAUUUAUUGGGUUUAAAGGGAGUGUAGGCGGUUGGUUAAGCGUGUUGUGAAAUGUAGAUGCUCAACAUCUGACUUGCAGCGCGAACUGGCUGACUUGAGUACACACAACGUAGGCGGAAUUCAUGGUGUAGCGGUAAAAUGCUUAGAUAUCAUGAAGAACUCCGAUUGCGAAGGCAGCUUACGGGAGUGUUACUGACGCUUAAGCUCGAAGGUGCGGGUAUCGAACAGG
RNAcentral lists this ribosomal RNA (424 nucleotides) under Verrucomicrobiota bacterium. RNAcentral's name for it is "Verrucomicrobia bacterium partial 16S ribosomal RNA". It matches the Rfam family "Bacterial small subunit ribosomal RNA", at positions 355 to 776 of the family's 1533-position model. The record is from RNAcentral. Lineage: Bacteria; Pseudomonadati; Verrucomicrobiota.